AUGUGGCAAAAAUCAAUUGAUGGGGGGGAAAAGGAGGAGAAGGAGAUAAAGGCCGUUCACGCACUUUGGAGAACUGUGUUAGAGACUCUGAAGGCUUUAAAAGCCAAAAGGGAAGUAGCAUGCGCGGCAGCGCAGAUGCUGGGUCCGGGAGUCCCUGCUUCCAAGCCCCGGAACAAGCCAGGGCCCGUUGCGCGAUUUUUUGGCUUGCCUGCGGUCAGAGGCAUGUCCGGGACGGUUUGCCAAAACGCUACUGAGGUGCGGGAGAAAGUAGAGGGUCAGAGCCCCGGUACAUCAGAGGACGUCCUGAGCCCCGGUCCGAGCCAGAGAAAAGAGGAAGUUGCCGCGCCGAAGGCUGGCGCGAGCUCUGAGACCAAAGCGGAAGUGCGCCCAGGGGCAGUCCCGAAAGGGGCGGAGGCCGUGCCUCUUGCCGACCUCAUAGACUUGGGCGGAGAGAGGUGUCGACCUUCCCCUACUGCUCCUCCCUUGCCACCGCCUGCCGCACCUCCCCUGAAUCCGCCGCGCUGCCCGCCACCGCUGAUGCCGGCAGCUCCCUUGUAUCCGCCGCUACCAUCAACGCCACCACCCGCACUACCAUCAUGCCCUCCGCCCACGGAGUACCCACCACUGCCUGCAUCUGGAGAGUCAUCUGGAUGUCACACGCCUGAUGCCGCAAAAACAACACCAUCACCCCAGGGAGCCACUGCAAAAAUGUUKCAAGCAGUACUGGAGCGCCUGGAAAAGAUAGAGCUGAGGUCGAGCAGCGGCGAGAAGGAGUUACCGCUCUGUCUACAAAGACCGCCAGGUAGAGCAGCACCAACGCGGUGGAGCGGCAUUAUUAAAGAUGCCAUCAUAGAAGGACAAUGGAAACCUGUUGGUGGGGCCAAGGGUCCCGCAGCAUUAGUGUUCCCUGUGGUACAGCAGAACRGUGCCGCAAAAUGGGAACCACAUGAUUGGAAAAUUUUGCAGCAAGCCCGUACCACCGUCUCCACCUACGGGGUAAAAUCUGAGGCAACACGGCAAAUAGUGAGUUGGAUCUUUUCCGCUGAUCUCAUGUGCCCCUAUGAUUGCAAAAACUUAAUGAGGCUGCUGCUUACCCCGACGCAAUAUCUCCUAUGGGCCUCGUCGUGGCACCAGUGGGCCGCCAACGAAGCAGCUCGCAGGCAGGAGUCGGGAGAUCCCCUCCGUGGGGUAACAACCGACAUGCUUAUAGGCAAAGGACAGUACAGCACCAUGAUCUCACAGCUCRCCUACCCAGUUGACAUGCUACAGCUGUCCUCUCAGCUGGCUCUGAAUGCUUUCCUGUCACUGCCAGGGUCAGGCGCACCCUCAUUCGGCAACCUAAUCCAGGGAGCAACGGAA
This 1359-nucleotide long non-coding RNA is filed under the name Apteryx haastii (Great spotted kiwi). Its description in RNAcentral is "lncRNA (ENSAHAG00000000269.1)". Lineage: Eukaryota; Metazoa; Chordata; Aves; Apterygiformes; Apterygidae. The record is from RNAcentral.